This 460-nucleotide ribosomal RNA is filed under the name uncultured bacterium. RNAcentral's name for it is "partial 16S ribosomal RNA". It matches the Rfam family "Bacterial small subunit ribosomal RNA", at positions 338 to 795 of the family's 1533-position model. The record is from RNAcentral.
CCUACGGGUGGCAGCAGUGAGGAAUAUUGGUCAAUGGACGCAAGUCUGAACCAGUCAUGCCGCGUGCAGGAUGACGGCUCUAUGAGUUGUACACUGCUUUUGUACGAGGGUAAACGCAGAUACGCGUAUCUGUCUGAAAGUAUCGUACGAAUAAGGAUCGGCUAACUCCGUGCCAGCAGCCGCGGUAAUACGGAGGAUUCAAGCGUUAUCCGGAUUUAUUGGGUUGAAAGGGUGCGUAGGCGGUCUGAUAAGUUAGAGGUGAAAUCCCGAGGCUCAACUUCGGAAUUGCCUGUGAUACUGGCCGGCGAGAGAGUAGUUGAGGUAGGCGGAAUGGAUGGUGUAGCGGUGAAAUGCUUAGAGAUCAUACAGAACACCGAUUGCGAAGGCAGCUUACCAAGCUACUUCUGACGUUGAGGCACGAAAGCGUGGGGAGCAAACAGGAUUAGAUACCCGUGUAGUC